Molecule: long non-coding RNA, 3343 nt
Filed under: Sus scrofa (pig)
Lineage: Eukaryota; Metazoa; Chordata; Mammalia; Artiodactyla; Suidae
Description: lncRNA (ENSSSCG00000057382.1)
Source: RNAcentral
CUAAGCCUCGGUUUUCUCUUUUGUAUAAAUCAUGCCUUUCAUGGAAUGGUUGCGAUGACUGUGAGAGGGCAUGUAAAAAGCUUAGUCUUUAGCCAUUUCCCUUCCCUUCUCUGUGUCUGCUAUCACUAGUUCAUAUUAGCCAAAUAGGACUAAUUUACCAAAUACCACUAUUGCUUUCCUUGAUCCUGUGAAGAAAAGUGAAGGACUUGAGUAAAGGAAAAAUCAUGAAAAAUGCAAAAGAUUGACAGUCAUUGUGAGCCUCACAUAGGUGCUCAUGCCAGCAUUUUCACCUCACUUGGUGCCUGGCUCCUAGUAAGUACUUGAUAAGUACUUAAUUAGAUGAAUGAGGACAGAUCUAGGGGAAGGAAUUGAUACAAAGAGGGGGGGCGUGAUUUAGAUUGACUAAAUUUAGCUAGCUGACAAAACAAGCUACCUGUCAGAAAGGUACUGUACAAAAAUAAAGGAGAGAGGGAGGAAAGAAAAGUGUGGUACCUCUGCACAUUUCAAAAGAUGCUGCAUACUGGAAAUGGGAGCUCUCAGAAUAAAUAUCAGACACCUAAGCUGAAGAAGUUUAUAGUAUAUUUGAAGACCAAAUGUGAUAGCAUAAUCUAAUAUAGUAGACUGUGAUGUCAAAUAGAAUGAUGAAAUCCUGAGAAGAGAGACCUGAUUAGAAUAAUCUACCAGUAUUUAGAUUGAGUAGGGAGCAACAAGACAAAUCCUUUGUUUUAAGAGUACUGAGGAAAUGUAACAGUGAUUAUGGGGUAGGGAGAGGAACAUUCUAGAGGACAAUAAAAGGCAGACAGGAUGACUAGUGGUGGAAAGAAGGGAAAAAAAUCUAAAUGUCUUAUCAAUAGAGGAAUAAUUACAUAUGCUAUAUCCUAUUAUGGAGUACUAUUCAGCUGUUAAAAUGAUAAAUUAUCAAUGGAAAAAAGCAGUGUCUGAACAAUAUGUUCUGUUUUUCUUAAUAGAAAACUAUGUUAGUGUAUAAUUACGUGUAAAGGAAGAGGAGGCACUCCAGACUUAACAGUGAUUACUUCAUGUUAAGAAUUGUGAAGAUUUUACAUAUUUGCAAGCUAACAAUUUAACUUGCCAGCUUCAUGGAUCUUGGCAGAAAGCACUAGGCUUCUGUGCCAGAGACAAAGGACUUUUGUUAACACGCAAGCAAAAUGAGCUUCAUGCUCCCCUUGUUCUCAAAGCCCAGAGAAGUAAUGUGGAGAGUGGGUGGCUGCUGCUCACACAGUGGGUUUGCAUCCUAGCAGAGGAACCCCAAGCUUAGGAAAACCAAGUCUUUGCCCAGCCUUGCCCCAGAGUGAGGCAAUAUCUUUAUUAUCCUGGUCAGGAAUCAAAUCUGCUCCAAAAGGAGGUACAAACAUCUUUGAAAAGAUAAUCUGAAAGAAAAUCUGUCAGGAGCCUUGGGAAAAUUUGAGAGAUCCUUGGAGAAUUGUCUCCCAACCCUAUGGGUAAUAGUAUCUGGGAGUAGAGGAGAAGCCAGCUUUAUUUUUUUUUAACUUUAUAUACAUCAAGAUUCUAGGAGUGAGUUCCCAUUGUGGCUCAGUGGUAACGAACCCAACUAGUAUCCAUGAGGAUGUGGGUUUAAUCCCUGGUCCCACUCAGUAGAUUAAGGAUCCAGUAUUGCUGUGAGUGGAGGUAUAGGUCACAGACGCGAUUCAGAUCUGGCACUGCUGUGGCUGUGGCAUAGGCCUGCAACUGCAGCUCCAAUUCAUCCCCUAGCCUGGGCACUUCCAUAUGCCGCAAGUGUAGCCCUAAAAAGAAAAAAAGAAAAAAAAAAGAUUCUAAGGGUUUUAAAAAUCUUUUUAUUAAAGUAUAGUUGAUUUUCAGAGUUCCCAUUGUGGCUCAGUGGUUAACGAAUCCGACUAGGAACCAUGAGGUUGUGGGUUCGAUCUCUGGCCUUGCUCAGUGGGUUAAGGAUCCAGCGUUGCCGUGAGCUGUGGUGUAGGUUGCAGACGCGGCUCAGAUCCCGUGUUGCUGUGGCUCUGGCCUAGGCCGGCGGCUACAGCUCCAAUUCGACCCCUAGCCUGAGAACCUCCAUAUGCCGCGGGAGCGGCCCUAGAAAAGGCAAAAAGACAAUAAUAAUAUUAUCAUAUUUUGUUAUUUUAACUUUUAAAAAUAUAAUAAGAAAUAAAAGGCAAACAGAGAAGUUUAAAUUUGUUUUAGUAAGGGACAAGGAGCCACUCAGAGUCAGUGACUGGAGGAAUGAUAGUGAUAUUUAAGGAACAUAAAUCAAUUAAUAAUAUCUAGGAUGGACUAGAGUUUAUAAAGUCUAUCUCAAGGCUGCAAUCGUGUAGCUAUAAGAUAAUUAGAACCGGGGCGUUCCCGUCGUGGCGCAGUGGUUAACGAAUCCGACUAGGAACCAUGAGGUUGCAGGUUCGGUCCCUGUCCUUGCUCAGUGGGUUAAUGGUCCGGCGUUGCCAUGAGCUGUGGUGUAGGACAGUAGCUGUAGCUCCCAUUAGACCCCUAGCCUGGGAACCUCCAUAUGCCCCAGGUGUGGCCUUAAAAAGCAAAUAAUAAUAACAAUAAUAAUUUUUUUCAUUCAUUUAAGAGGGUUCUUGGGAGGGAAAGGAAGUAGAUAUAGAUAUCACUCUUUCAACUUGAACUUGAAACAAGCCAUGUUUUCCCAUACCAUCCUCUCAUUUUCUCAUUUUAACACAUCUCAUUUUUGUAUUCAUAGAGAAGGCUUUCUGAUUAAAGUGAAAUUUGAGCCAGAUGUUGAAGAAUGGACAGAAUUUAGGUAAGUGGAGAGUAGUAGGAAGUACACUGUAGCAGAGAGGUCAAUAUGAUCGAAAGUGUGAUGCUGAAUGAAGUAGCAGAUAUGAGAAUCAAGCCACCAUCUAUUAAGCCAGACAUUAGAGUUUGCAAAAAAUGUGAAAUGAUUCCACUCUUUUUAAUAACAUAUUUUGUUUUUGAAAAUAGAGUUAAAUUUCAUAAAAUAAUAAAUUAACAACAUAGUUAACAUGUAAUGGGUAUGUUAUUGUUAUUUUAAAGAAUAAGUAUUUUUCUCAGUUUUAAUUUCGAACAUAGAAAAACAUGAUGGAUAUGCCCCACAUAAACAUAAGCUUUUGGAGUCCUUACUAAUUUAAGAGUAUAAAAAGAGACCAGAAUGUUUGAGAAUUAAUAUGCUAGUCCAUACACUACGUUUAUGUGAAGUGAUCUUCUGAAACUAAAAUGUAGAGCAACUAUGGAAAAUCCAGGGACACCUUUGAGGCUCUGGGUGUGGAAAAUAUUUGGAACCUUAUCAGAAACAUGUUGCCUGCUUACGCAAAUAGGGCAAUUACAAGUAACUGGAGUUUAACUUUUUAACCGGAGUUUAACUUUAGUAGGGCUG